UUGUUCACGGGUCUGUCACUUUCUCACCCUCAAACCACAGUGAAACCUAAUCUUCCCAACUUUACCGUUGUGAUUUCAAGAAAGAAAAGAAAAAAAAAAAUGUUACCGUUGUGUUCUCCGCGCCGGCGCAUAUUUAUAUAAGAGGAACAUCCACGACCAGAUUUUGAAAAAUAAAAUAUAGUGCAGAAGAAAAGCAAGAGGCGCUCACAUUGACAUGCCCUUCUUUUUUUAACAGCGGCGUUUUUGAACAUCGUCUCAGACGUCCGGCCGCCUCCGCCGACUGCCCUCAGCCUCGAUCUCUUCUUUCUUAAGGUCUCGGUUUGUUAUUUCAAGGUUCUUGAAUUUCAAUUACUACAUGGGUUCUAUUGUAUGUCUUGGAUUACGACUGCAAUCUGCGGACAAGUGUGUGGGACUUACAUACAAGGAUGCUGGUGUGGACAUUGUUGCUUGAUCAGAACUUGUUAAGAGAAUAGUCAAGAUGGCUCACUGAAUUGGAGGUUAUGAAGGCUUUUCCCUUUGGUCCUGUUUUUCAGAGCUUCUUUCUUGAAGGCAGAUUUGGCUUUGCUUAUUCCACUUGCACUUUGGGAUUCCUAUAGAGAUGGAGGGGGAACCAAACAUAUGUUGGCUUUUGGGACUCGAAUCGACAAGGCUACUGGCAUUGAAUUGGAGAACCUGCAGGCUUUGAAUUGGAUUGUCAUCUUUGUCUGCUGGCUGAUCUUCCCUACCAUUAGGUUGGGAAAGAAUUUAAGUUAGCAGUGAAGAUGAUCUGAAUGAAAGAGUCUGCUUAACAACGUUCAUGGAUUUGUCGAUAUCAGUUGUGGCGUUCAAGUAAUUCUAAGUAUGAGCCUCAUGGGUUCGCCGUGGAUGUAAAUCUUGCCUACUGUAAAUAGAACCAAGCAUGUUUGUAAUACUUAGAUCAUAGUCAUGUAUUAAGGAAACCAGAAACAGGGAAAGUAUGUCUGGUUCAUGCCUAAAAGUGAUCCCUAGAGAUCCUAUGUAGUUGUUUCCUACUAUCUUGUUAGUAAAUAUUUGAUGUGGUACCAUGUUUUGAGCAAGCAAGCAAUUUUUCUUUUUCCUU
Sesamum indicum (sesame) is the source of this 1078-nucleotide non-coding RNA. The record is from RefSeq and is a predicted model, not a curated record. Lineage: Eukaryota; Viridiplantae; Streptophyta; Magnoliopsida; Lamiales; Pedaliaceae.